CGUUUUUUGAUUAUAAUUUAAGAUUUAUUCUGCUCAAUGAAAAUUUAAAUAGCCGCAGUAUUUUAACUGUGCAGAGGUAGCAUAAUAAUUUGUUUAUUAAUUGUAAACUGGAAUGAAAGAAUAGAUAAAAUAUUUACUUUAUUAAUAUUAUAAAUAUAAAGUUAAUUUUUUAGUAAAAAAGCUAAAAUUUUUUAUUGGGACGAGAAGACCCUAUAGAAUUUUAUAUUAUAAUGAAUAUUUUAAAUUAAUAUAUUUUUAUAUAUUUAUUAUAUUAAUUUAUUGGGAGGAUAAUUAAAUUUUUAAACUUUAAUAUAAUUAACCAAAGAUAAAUGAAGAUUGGAUUUUAUAUAUAAAAUUUUAGAAAAAUUACCUUAGGGAUAACAGUGUAAUAUUUUUAGAAAGUUCUUAUUGAUAAAAAUGUUUAUAACCUCGAUGUUGAAUUUAGAUUAAUUUAAAUAGAAGUUUGUUUAAAUUUUAGUCUGUUCGACUAUUAAAAUCUAACAU
Molecule: ribosomal RNA, 504 nt
Filed under: Sclerodermus guani
Lineage: Eukaryota; Metazoa; Arthropoda; Insecta; Hymenoptera; Bethylidae
Description: partial 16S ribosomal RNA
Source: RNAcentral